This 484-nucleotide ribosomal RNA is filed under the name uncultured bacterium. Its description in RNAcentral is "partial 16S ribosomal RNA". It matches the Rfam family "Bacterial small subunit ribosomal RNA", at positions 29 to 507 of the family's 1533-position model. The record is from RNAcentral.
AUUGAACGCUGGCGGCAUGCUUUACACAUGCAAGUCGAACGGCAGCGCGGGCUUCGGCCUGGCGGCGAGUGGCGAACGGGUGAGUAAUACAUCGGAACGUGCCCAGUAGUGGGGGAUAGCUCGGCGAAAGCCGGAUUAAUACCGCAUACGACCUGAGGGUGAAAGCGGGGGAUCUUCGGACCUCGCGCUAUUGGAGCGGCCGAUGGCAGAUUAGCUAGUUGGUGGGGUAAAGGCCUACCAAGGCGACGAUCUGUAGCUGGUCUGAGAGGACGACCAGCCACACGGGGACUGAGACACGGCCCAGACUCCGACGGGAGGCAGCAGUGGGGAAUUUUGGACAAUGGGCGAAAGCCUGAUCCAGCAAUGCCGCGUGUGGGAUGAAGGCCUUCGGGUUGUAAAGCACUUUUGGCGGGAACGAAAAGGACUGUGCAAAUACCACGGUUCGAUGACGGUACCCGCAGAAUAAGCACCGGCUAACUACGUG